GAUGAACGCUGGCGGCGUGCUUAACACAUGCAAGUCGAACGGUGAAGCCAAGCUUGCUUGGUGGAUCAGUGGCGAACGGGUGAGUAACACGUGAGCAACCUGCCCUGGACUCUGGGAUAAGCGCUGGAAACGGCGUCUAAUACUGGAUAUGAGCCUCUAUCGCAUGGUGGGGGUUGGAAAGAUUUUUUGGUCUGGGAUGGGCUCGCGGCCUAUCAGCUUGUUGGUGAGGUAAUGGCUCACCAAGGCGUCGACGGGUAGCCGGCCUGAGAGGGUGACCGGCCACACUGGGACUGAGACACGGCCCAGACUCCUACGGGAGGCAGCAGUGGGGAAUAUUGCACAAUGGGCGAAAGCCUGAUGCAGCAACGCCGCGUGAGGGAUGACGGCCUUCGGGUUGUAAACCUCUUUUAGCAGGGAAGAAGCGAAAGUGACGGUACCUGCAGAAAAAGCGCCGGCUAACUACGUGCCAGCAGCCGCGGUAAUACGUAGGGCGCAAGCGUUAUCCGGAAUUAUUGGGCGUAAAGAGCUCGUAGGCGGUUUGUCGCGUCUGCUGUGAAAUCCCGAGGCUCAACCUCGGGCCUGCAGUGGGUACGGGCAGACUAGAGUGCGGUAGGGGAGAUUGGAAUUCCUGGUGUAGCGGUGGAAUGCGCAGAUAUCAGGAGGAACACCGAUGGCGAAGGCAGAUCUCUGGGCCGUAACUGACGCUGAGGAGCGAAAGGGUGGGGAGCAAACAGGCUUAGAUACCCUGGUAGUCCACCCCGUAAACGUUGGGAACUAGUUGUGGGGACCAUUCCACGGUUUCCGUGACGCAGCUAACGCAUUAAGUUCCCCGCCUGGGGAGUACGGCCGCAAGGCUAAAACUCGAAGGAAUUGACGGGGACCCGCACAAGCGGCGGAGCAUGCGGAUUAAUUCGAUGCAACGCGAAGAACCUUACCAAGGCUUGACAUAUACGAGAACGGGCCAGAAAUGGUCAACUCUUUGGACACUCGUAAACAGGUGGUGCAUGGUUGUCGUCAGCUCGUGUCGUGAGAUGUUGGGUUAAGUCCCGCAACGAGCGCAACCCUCGUUCUAUGUUGCCAGCACGUAAUGGUGGGAACUC
RNAcentral lists this ribosomal RNA (1100 nucleotides) under uncultured bacterium. RNAcentral's name for it is "bacterial SSU rRNA". It matches the Rfam family "Bacterial small subunit ribosomal RNA", at positions 28 to 1140 of the family's 1533-position model. The record is from RNAcentral.